Molecule: ribosomal RNA, 1519 nt
Filed under: metagenome
Description: bacterial SSU rRNA
Rfam family: Bacterial small subunit ribosomal RNA
Source: RNAcentral
CGAGUUUGAUCCUGGCUCAGAACGAACGCUGGCGGCAUGCUUAACACAUGCAAGUCGAACGGUAGCAGGCCCUUCGGGGUGCUGACGAGUGGCAAACGGGUGAGUAAUAUUUAGAUAAUCUACCCUGGAGACUGGGACAACUAUGGGAAACUAUAGCUAAUACCGGAUAAGCUCCCAAGCUUAUUAGUUUGAGAGAAAAGGAUGGGGAUCUUCGGACCUGUCGCUUUAGGAUGAGUCUAAAGCCUAUCAGCUUGUUGGUGGGGUAAAGGCCUACCAAGGCAACGACGGGUAGUCGGCCUGAGAGGGUGAACGGCCACACUGGAACUGAGACACGGUCCAGACUCCUACGGGAGGCAGCAGUGAGGAAUUUUCCGCAAUGGGCGAAAGCCUGACGGAGCGAUGCCGCGUGAGGGAAGAAGGCCUUCGGGUCGUAAAACCUCUGUUGCUGGGGAAGAAGGAAGUCUUUCUGAAUACGGAAGAUUUUUUGACGCAACCCAGCGAGGAAGCCCCGGCUAACUACGUGCCAGCAGCCGCGGUAAUACGUAGGGGGCGAGCGUUGUUCGGAUUUACUGGGCGUAAAGAGUGUGUAGGCGGUUCUGAAAGUUAGAUGUGAAAGCUAGAAGCUUAACUUCUAAAUUGCAUUUAAAACUACAGGUCUAGAGUAUGGUAGGGAAAAGCGGAAUUCCUGGUGUAGCAGUGAAAUGCGCAGAUAUCAGGAGGAACACCGGAGGCGAAAGCGGCUUUUUGGGCCAAUACUGACGCUGAGACACGAAAGCAUGGGGAGCAAACAGGAUUAGAUACCCUGGUAGUCCAUGCCGUAAACGAUGAGAACUAAGCGUAGGGGGAAGUGAAUCCCUCUGUGCUGCAGUUAACGCAUUAAGUUCUCCGCCUGGGAAGUACGGUCGCAAGAUUAAAACUCAAAGGAAUUGACGGGGGCCCGCACAAGCGGUGGAGUAUGUGGUUUAAUUCGACGAUACGCGAGAAACCUUACCCAGACUUGACAUCCUUCUGAAGAUAUGUGUAAUGCAUAUUGCCCUCCGGGGCAGAAGUGACAGGUGGUGCAUGGUUGUCGUCAGCUCGUGUCGUGAGAUGUUGGGUUAAGUCCCGCAACGAGCGCAACCCUUACGUCUAUUUGCCAAUACUUAGGGUAGGCACUAUAGUCGGACUGCCGGCGACAAGCCGGAGGAAGGCGGGGACGAGGUCAAAUCAGCACGCCCUUUAUGUCUGGGGCAUCACACGUACUACAAUGGCCAGUACAGCGAGUCGCAACCUCGCGAGAGGAAGCUAAUCUCUUAAAACUGGUCUAAGUUCGGAUUGUAUGGCUGAAACUCGCCUGCAUGAAGUUGGAAUCGCUAGUAACUGUAAAUCAGCAUGUUACAGUGAAUACGUUCUCGGGCCUUGUACACACCGCCCGUCACACCAUGGAAGAAGGUAACGCCCGAAGCCGGUGAGCUAACCCAACUCGGGAGGCAGCUGUCUAAGGCGGGACUUUUGACUGGGGUGAAGUCGUAACAAGGUA